UGAGCAAUCUGCCCUUCUCUUUGGAAUAAGCGUUGGAAACGACGUCUAAUGCCGAAUACGACCUCCUUUCGCAUGAUCGGAGGUGGAAAGCUCCGGCGGAGAAGGAUGAGCUCGCGGCCUAUCAGCUAGUUGGUGUGGGUAAUGGCCCACCAAGGCGACGACGGGUAGCCGGCCUGAGAGGGUGACCGGCCACACUUGGACUGAGACACGGCCCAGACCUCCGUACGGGGAGGNAGCG
This 238-nucleotide ribosomal RNA is filed under the name uncultured bacterium. RNAcentral describes it as "partial 16S ribosomal RNA". It matches the Rfam family "Bacterial small subunit ribosomal RNA", at positions 118 to 353 of the family's 1533-position model. The record is from RNAcentral.